GUCUUGGUGGCUCAGAUGGCAGAGCACUGGAGUGUCGAUCCAGGGGUCGUGAGUUCAAGUCUCACCCAAGACA
This is a non-coding RNA of Cydia splendana, 73 nucleotides long. NCBI's taxonomy places the organism in Eukaryota, Metazoa, Arthropoda, Insecta, Lepidoptera, Tortricidae. The record is from the annotation of a RefSeq genome assembly.